UACAGAGGUCUCAAGCGUUGUUCGGAUUCAUUGGGCGUAAAGGGUGCGUAGGUGGCGCGCUAAGUCAGGUGUGAAAUUUCGGAGCUUAACUCCGAAACUGCAUUCGAUACUGCCGUGCUUGAGGACUGGAGAGGAGACUGGAAUUUACGGUGUAGCGGUGAAAUGCGUAGAUAUCGUAAGGAAGACCAGUGGCGAAGGCGGGUCUCUGGACAGUGCCUGACGCUGAGGCACGAAGGUCAGGGGAGCAAACGGG
Molecule: ribosomal RNA, 253 nt
Filed under: uncultured bacterium
Lineage: Bacteria
Description: partial 16S ribosomal RNA
Rfam family: Bacterial small subunit ribosomal RNA
Source: RNAcentral